UACGUAGGCGGCAAGCGUUGUCCGGAUUUACUGGGCGUAAAGGAUGCGUAGGCGGAUGUUUAAGUGAGAUGUGAAAUACCCGGGCUUAACUUGGGUGCUGCAUUUCAAACUGGAUAUCUAGAGUGCAGGAGAGGAAAGUGGAAUUCCUAGUGUAGCGGUGAAAUGCGUAGAGAUUAGGAAGAACACCAGUGGCGAAGGCGACUUUCUGGACUGUAACUGACGCUGAGGCAUGAAAGCGUGGGGAGCAAACAGG
This 253-nucleotide ribosomal RNA is filed under the name uncultured bacterium. RNAcentral describes it as "partial 16S ribosomal RNA". It matches the Rfam family "Bacterial small subunit ribosomal RNA", at positions 524 to 776 of the family's 1533-position model. The record is from RNAcentral.